Long non-coding RNA from Neltuma alba, 306 nucleotides. RefSeq lists it as uncharacterized. The transcript is spliced from 2 exons. Lineage: Eukaryota; Viridiplantae; Streptophyta; Magnoliopsida; Fabales; Fabaceae. The record is from RefSeq and is a predicted model, not a curated record.
UAAAGCUUCCCCGGCUGUUAAAGUUGACAACAUAGCAUCAUCUUGGGUGACAUAUGCCUGUUUUUGCAGGGGGAGGGAGUGAGGAUCUGAUGUCGGACAAAGCUGAGAUGCAUAAUGAUAAAGCAAGUUCACUCCAUAAUGGCCUAUCACAUAUAUUGAAUGAGACAGUGUUCAUGAUUCGCCUUGUACAAGAAUAGCCUUGUGAUUCCAAUAAUUCCCAAACUGCAUUAUUAACUACAAGUUGUAUGAUGCAUGAGAUAGGAAAGGAUGUACACAUAUUAAAGAGAAAAUAUGUAUAUAAAAUGA